This is a long non-coding RNA of Lycium ferocissimum, 684 nucleotides long. RefSeq lists it as uncharacterized. Lineage: Eukaryota; Viridiplantae; Streptophyta; Magnoliopsida; Solanales; Solanaceae. The transcript is spliced from 2 exons. The record is from RefSeq and is a predicted model, not a curated record.
GCAUGAAAGCCACGCCUAGGUAUUUCUAUUUCAGCUCCCUCCCCACUGCGAUUCCACCCUCACACACCACCACAGCUCCUCACUGCACCACCCCGGGCACUCCACUAGUCCAGCGACCAUCGGUGUUUACUUGAAGGAAAAUUGGUGGAAGUGCAAAACAGUUGUUGUAGAGAGGCCAAGACUUCCACAGGCCCUCUAGUUCGUUUUCUUCAAUGUCAUAUACAAGCUCUAAAAAUUUUGAUUUUCAGUGCAUGGUGCUAAAAUUUUCCUGAUGGAUGCCACUUUCAUGAGCAAAUGCAUUAGCUCCAACAAUGGCCUUAUGUGGCUGCACGUGCAGCCCAAUGUACUCUUCCACCAUUUUGCUCGACGGAAUAAUAUGUUGAGUAUUAAUCCAUAUGUUCAGAGAAUGGAAUUAUUUUUGCAGCAAAAUUUUUGAUUCAGGGACAAAUCUAAGCUUCUCUUCAAUUAGUUUAACAUCACUUGCAGUUCAAGGAAGAGCAAAACAUGAAAAUCUCUCAUUGGCAUAUGUUUCCAGGGAGUCCCUCCUAACUUUUUCUUUACUUAUAUAGUUACAUUGAGGACAAUGCAAUAUUUUUAGUUGGAGGGCGAGACUUCAUUUUGAUGGAUAUUUUGUGAUGGGGUGUGAUAUGUCAUGAUGGAUGAUAACUUGGUAGAUUGACUUUA